CAGCAGCCGCGGUAAAACGUAGGUGGCAAGCGUUGUCCGGAAUUAUUGGGCGUAAAGCGCGCGCAGGUGGUUUAAUAAGUCUGAUGUGAAAGCCCACGGCUCAACCGUGGAGGGUCAUUGGAAACUGUUAAACUUGAGUGCAGGAGAGAAAAGUGGAAUUCCUAGUGUAGCGGUGAAAUGCGUAGAGAUUAGGAGGAACACCAGUGGCGAAGGCGGCUUUUUGGCCUGUAACUGACACUGAGGCGCGAAAGCGUGGGGAGCAAACAGGAUUAGAUACCCGAGUAGUCCCUGUCUCUUAUAC
This 301-nucleotide ribosomal RNA is filed under the name uncultured bacterium. Its description in RNAcentral is "partial 16S ribosomal RNA". It matches the Rfam family "Bacterial small subunit ribosomal RNA", at positions 509 to 807 of the family's 1533-position model. The record is from RNAcentral.